AUACGGAGGAUCCGAGCGUUAUCCGGAUUUAUUGGGUUUAAAGGGUGCGCAGGCGGGAGAUUAAGUCGGCGGUGAAAUUUUGCAGCUCAACUGUAAAAGUGCCUUCGAAACUGGUUUUCUUGAGUGUAGAUGAAGUAGGCGGAAUUUGUGGUGUAGCGGUGAGAUGCAUAGAUAUCACGAGGAACUCCGAUUGCGCAGGCAGCUUACUAAACUACUACUGACGCUCAGGCACGAAGGCGUGGGGAUCAAACAGGAUUAGAUACCCUGGUAGUCCACGCAGUAAACGAUGAUUACUAGCUGUUUGCGAUACAAUGUAAGCGGCUGAGCGAAAGCGUUAAGUAAUCCACCUGGGGAGUACGUUCGCAAGAAUGAAACUCAAAGGAAUUGGCGGGG
RNAcentral lists this ribosomal RNA (393 nucleotides) under uncultured bacterium. RNAcentral's name for it is "partial 16S ribosomal RNA". It matches the Rfam family "Bacterial small subunit ribosomal RNA", at positions 523 to 918 of the family's 1533-position model. The record is from RNAcentral.